Molecule: ribosomal RNA, 1522 nt
Filed under: metagenome
Description: bacterial SSU rRNA
Rfam family: Bacterial small subunit ribosomal RNA
Source: RNAcentral
AGAGUUUGAUCAUGGCUCAGAUUGAACGCUGGCGGCAGGCCUAACACAUGCAAGUCGAACGGUAACAGGAAGCAGCUUGCUGCUUCGCUGACGAGUGGCGGACGGGUGAGUAAUGUCUGGGAAGCUGCCUGAUGGAGGGGGAUAACUACUGGAAACGGUAGCUAAUACCGCAUAAUGUCGCAAGACCAAAGAGGGGGACCUUCGGGCCUCUUGCCAUCGGAUGUGCCCAGAUGGGAUUAGCUUGUUGGUGGGGUAACGGCUCACCAAGGCGACGAUCCCUAGCUGGUCUGAGAGGAUGACCAGCCACACUGGAACUGAGACACGGUCCAGACUCCUACGGGAGGCAGCAGUGGGGAAUAUUGCACAAUGGGCGCAAGCCUGAUGCAGCCAUGCCGCGUGUAUGAAGAAGGCCUUCGGGUUGUAAAGUACUUUCAGCGGGGAGGAAGGGAGUAAAGUUAAUACCUUUGCUCAUUGACGUUACCCGCAGAAGAAGCACCGGCUAACUCCGUGCCAGCAGCCGCGGUAAUACGGAGGGUGCAAGCGUUAAUCGGAAUUACUGGGCGUAAAGCGCACGCAGGCGGUUUGUUAAGUCAGAUGUGAAAUCCCCGGGCUCAACCUGGGAACUGCAUCUGAUACUGGCAAGCUUGAGUCUCGUAGAGGGGGGUAGAAUUCCAGGUGUAGCGGUGAAAUGCGUAGAGAUCUGGAGGAAUACCGGUGGCGAAGGCGGCCCCCUGGACGAAGACUGACGCUCAGGUGCGAAAGCGUGGGGAGCAAACAGGAUUAGAUACCCUGGUAGUCCACGCCGUAAACGAUGUCGACUUGGAGGUUGUGCCCUUGAGGCGUGGCUUCCGGAGCUAACGCGUUAAGUCGACCGCCUGGGGAGUACGGCCGCAAGGUUAAAACUCAAAUGAAUUGACGGGGGCCCGCACAAGCGGUGGAGCAUGUGGUUUAAUUCGAUGCAACGCGAAGAACCUUACCUGGUCUUGACAUCCACGGAAGUUUUCAGAGAUGAGAAUGUGCCUUCGGGAACCGUGAGACAGGUGCUGCAUGGCUGUCGUCAGCUCGUGUUGUGAAAUGUUGGGUUAAGUCCCGCAACGAGCGCAACCCUUAUCCUUUGUUGCCAGCGGUCCGGCCGGGAACUCAAAGGAGACUGCCAGUGAUAAACUGGAGGAAGGUGGGGAUGACGUCAAGUCAUCAUGGCCCUUACGACCAGGGCUACACACGUGCUACAAUGGCGCAUACAAAGAGAAGCGACCUCGCGAGAGCAAGCGGACCUCAUAAAGUGCGUCGUAGUCCGGAUUGGAGUCUGCAACUCGACUCCAUGAAGUCGGAAUCGCUAGUAAUCGUGGAUCAGAAUGCCACGGUGAAUACGUUCCCGGGCCUUGUACACACCGCCCGUCACACCAUGGGAGUGGGUUGCAAAAGAAGUAGGUAGCCUAACCUUCGGGAGGGCGCUUACCACUUUGUGAUUCAUGACUGGGGUGAAGUCGGAACAAGGUAACCGUAGGGGAACCUGCGGUUG